AGAAAAGUCAUGCAUGAGGAAAAAAAAAUAAUUACAAAGUAACAGAAAUGCAUGCUUGUAAAACACACAUGUAUUUGUGAACACACAGAGGUGCACGAUAAUCCUGGAUGACACUGAUGACUCCAUGAUAGCAUGUAUAUUCAACACCCUCACCCAUUAAUAGGGAAAAGGGAAUACCAAAUACCAGUCAUUUACACCAGGUGAUCAUAGACUGCUUUAUUCUUAAUUUUGUGAACUGCCAAAUAAACUUUACCAUUAAAAAUUCUAACAGAAAUGAGGUAUAAACUGCAUAAAAUAGGAAGCCACCACAACAGCAAAAGCAAACAGUGAGAAAAAAGGCCGCACCUCUUCUAAUGAUCCCAGUUGC
This 367-nucleotide unclassified non-coding RNA is filed under the name Hevea brasiliensis (rubber tree). The record is from RNAcentral. Lineage: Eukaryota; Viridiplantae; Streptophyta; Magnoliopsida; Malpighiales; Euphorbiaceae.